AUGGUGGUGGUGGGGGGCGGCAGCGGGAAUGCGUGGGCGAAGGAGAUGACCCUCCGCCGGAGGAUGGCCAGCAUAUUCAACAAGACGCGGGAGCACUUCCCGUCGCUGAAAGACUACAACGAUUACCUGGAGGAGGUGGAGGAUAUGAGAAUCGACGUCGAGGCGAUCGAGGCUAGGAUUGCCAGGUAUCAGCAGGAAAAUGCUGAGCAGAUAUACUUGUCGCGAGCUAAAAGGGCUGAAGAUCUUGCCGCGGCGCUUAAAGCAAGCAGAAUGGUCACUGUGAAGGCUGGCCCGAGUGAUACGGCGGCUGGAACCUCCCAAGGUAUUAGUGGUGGAGCAGGAGUUCAAGGCCAGUAUGCACCUGCCGCCGUUCCUGGUGGGUUGAAUCAGCCUCGUCCGACUGGUAACGCCCCGCAGCCAAUCGGUGGUUCAUCCGAUCCUCUACAUGGAUAUGAUGAGGAGACCAUGCGACUACGUGCGGAGAGAGGAGCUCGGGCAGGUGGUUGGACUGCUGAGUUGGGCAGGCGAAGAGCACUGGAGGAGGCAUUUAACAGCAUAUUCGUAUAA
RNAcentral lists this ribosomal RNA (567 nucleotides) under Triticum aestivum (bread wheat). Its description in RNAcentral is "partial small subunit ribosomal RNA". Lineage: Eukaryota; Viridiplantae; Streptophyta; Magnoliopsida; Poales; Poaceae. The record is from RNAcentral.